Molecule: long non-coding RNA, 966 nt
Organism: Solanum tuberosum (potato)
Lineage: Eukaryota; Viridiplantae; Streptophyta; Magnoliopsida; Solanales; Solanaceae
Exons: 5
Source: RefSeq, a predicted model, not a curated record
CUUCUUCUCAAUCUCCGCUCAAAUCUUCUUCUCGAAAUUUCUUAGUUGAUGCUGUAGAUUGGAAUUUUGGGUUGAGAAAACCUGAAACUGAAAUUUUGGGUUGAGGAGAAGUAGGAUUUUCCUUGCUAUUUUCUCAGUUGUUAUUGAUGUUGUUUUGCUAGCAGACAAACAAGGAUUUCUUCCUAAGUUAUUAUAAUCUCUUCAGAUUUCAAGAUACUCUUUCAAUUCUCUUCAUCUCCGCAGUUGAAUGAAUUUCAAACAAAUCAUAAAGGAGUUGCAGGGAGCUAUAAUGAUUUCUUCAGCUUUCCAAACAAUUCUUGGAUACAGUGGGCUGGUGCCAGUAUUACUUUGGUUAAAUGGGAUGGAAUAGGACAUGAGCUUACUCUCUCAUCAGUAUUUGUAGUGUUGUCUGUUUAUCAGCAUACAAGAUUUAUGAAUACAUACUUUUUUGUGGAAGUGAUAUCAAGUGGUUGGGCUCCUGCUAGAGAGCAUCACAGCAAAGGCAGUCGCUUUCUUGAAUAAAUGUUAUGAAAGCACCAUUUCUCAAGGCAAUAUGGUAAUGCCAUUAUCUAUGAGCAGCAAUAUCUAUAGAUGCAUACCAAUUUUUUAAAUGUUUCUCCCACAAAAUAUUCAGUUGAGCAUCUUUCGAAGAACUGCGGUCAGCCAUACUGCAAAUGCAGUUGGUAGAACCCGUUCGACGAUGCAUUUCAAAGUAACUCGGAGAAAAAAUCAUGUCUGAUGGUUCUAAGAAUCGACUGAACAAUGUUAACAAAGAAUAAGAUUAACAUUUAUACUUAUAUCAUCACUUUUUUCAUUUCAACUUUUUUAUAUUUUGUUCUUUUAAUUAGAUUUUACAGUUGUGUUUGUUUCUUUAAGGGUAUUUUCAUGAAUUUAAGGUUGUACAAUAGAGAUCAAUGGUAACUUGGAGCAGGUUUAUCUCUAUUGAAUGAAUUUUAUGAUUAUUCA